Daphnia pulicaria is the source of this 1295-nucleotide long non-coding RNA. RefSeq lists it as uncharacterized. The transcript is spliced from 8 exons. Lineage: Eukaryota; Metazoa; Arthropoda; Branchiopoda; Diplostraca; Daphniidae. The record is from RefSeq and is a predicted model, not a curated record.
CUAAUACGGAGGCGCAUUUUUCGUUGGUGGAAAGUUAUUUAGCCUCAGGACUAGAACUGGAAUAGCGCAACUAAUGUUGCAAUAGGCUACAACGAAAUGUCAUUUCAUCUUACACAUGCUAGCUGGCUGAUACCUGAAAACACUUCGAUGCCCUUGAAAUUCGAACGAGAACCUAACGAACUGCUAUAAUUAAAGAUCCGCACACGUGCACAGAAAUCAUCUUCAGAAGACAGCUGACUGUUGGCAGCCUUUAUGUUCGGAUUCCCCAACGGGCGCAUUUACUGUAGAAUGGCCCGGUGAAGAGCUUCGCUGUGCACGGGGAAUUUACUAGAUAAACGGGAACACCCUUCAGUUCAUUUCAGAAAUGACUUUAGUCGAAUUCAAGAACUUGAUAAAGGAACUUAUGACAUGGCAUUUAUUAAAAACCAUGCAAAGAAUAAUGUUGCGUCCCUCACAUAUUUUCCAGGCUGAGAAAGAGAAGUGAAAGUUUCAGCAGGAGCUGUUUCAUGCUCAUCAUUAAGUUGAGUCAGCGAACAAAGAUAAGGCAAGAUGAAACGUACACCAACGAAGUAGAAAAGUCAGAGUUGUUCGUGCAUGAGUACACACUCUGAAUGGAAGAGCUCAAGAGCACUAUUAUCGUCAUCAGCAGCAAAGUACGAACAUGCCUGCACUUUUCACACCGAAAAGAUCAGGCGCAAAUUUCACAUCCAGGUGACUGAAUUGGAAAAAAAAGACCAGUACUUUAAUCUCCAAAUGCUCAGGUUUGGAGAUGAGCACGUCACGUCUACAGAGUGAGGUAGAUGUUCUUAUUAUCGAUUUUGAGAAGGCUGAUAGCACCACCUGAGAGAUGCAAAAGCGCAGCAAGCAACUGGAGCUCAUCAACAUUGAAUUCAAAUCCAAGUUGGAUUAGAUUGAGCAGACUGGCCUAUACGACGCUUCCCAGAGAGAUAAUCGUAACAAGGCGACAGAUAUUUUCCGUUUGACUCACGAACUUGACAAAACGUGCGAACGAAAAGAUCAGCUGACCAGCGAAAACAAGAAAUUGGGCGAUGAGAACGCUUAGCUGAAGAGCCAGUACUCUGAUCAACAGCAGAUUCCGUGAGUUAGACGACGUUAGACGACAAGGUUUGGGUGAAACGAGCUUUCUUAGUAACAAGGCCUCGCCCUCAAUGAAAUUUUGAACUUAACGAAUUUAACUCAUAGUAAACUUGUUUGCUGAUUUCGUUUUACUAUCAUAUGUCACUCUCGAGAUGUUAUUGUAAAUGAAUGGAAAAUAAAGUAUUUGUCAUUAAAAA